RNAcentral lists this ribosomal RNA (396 nucleotides) under uncultured bacterium. RNAcentral's name for it is "partial 16S ribosomal RNA". It matches the Rfam family "Bacterial small subunit ribosomal RNA", at positions 338 to 731 of the family's 1533-position model. The record is from RNAcentral.
CCUACGGGAGGCAGCAGUGAGGAAUAUUGGUCAAUGGGCUUACGCCUGAACCAGCCAAGUCGCGUGAGGGAUGACGGCCCUAUGGGUUGUAAACUUCUUUUGUCAGGGAGCAACGCCGGCUACGUGUAGCCGGAGUGAGAGUACCUGAAGAAAAAGCAUCGGCUAACUCCGUGCCAGCAGCCGCGGUAAUACGGAGGAUGCGAGCGUUAUCCGGAUUUAUUGGGUUUAAAGGGUGCGUAGGCGGAAUAUCAAGUCAGCGGUAAAAUUGCGGGGCUCAACCCCGCUCUGCCGUUGAAACUGGCGUUCUUGAGUGGGCGAGAAGUAUGCGGAAUGCGUGGUGUAGCGGUGAAAUGCAUAGAUAUCACGCAGAACUCCGAUUGCGAAGGCAGCUUACCA